GGCAUGCCUUACACAUGCAAGUCGAACGGUAACAGGUCUUCGGAUGCUGACGAGUGGCGAACGGGUGAGUAAUACAUCGGAACGUGCCCGAGAGUGGGGGAUAACGAAGCGAAAGCUUUGCUAAUACCGCAUACGAUCUCAGGAUGAAAGCAGGGGACCGCAAGGCCUUGCGCUCACGGAGCGGCCGAUGGCAGAUUAGGUAGUUGGUGGGAUAAAAGCUUACCAAGCCGACGAUCUGUAGCUGGUCUGAGAGGACGACCAGCCACACUGGGACUGAGACACGGCCCAGACUCCUACGGGAGGCAGCAGUGGGGAAUUUUGGACAAUGGGCGCAAGCCUGAUCCAGCCAUGCCGCGUGCAGGAUGAAGGCCUUCGGGUUGUAAACUGCUUUUGUACGGAACGAAAAGACUCUGGUUAAUACCUGGGGUCCAUGACGGUACCGUAAGAAUAAGCACCGGCUAACUACGUGCCAGCAGCCGCGGUAAUACGUAGGGUGCGAGCGUUAAUCGGAAUUACUGGGCGUAAAGCGUGCGCAGGCGGUUAUGUAAGACAGAUGUGAAAUCCCCGGGCUCAACCUGGGAACUGCAUUUGUGACUGCGUAGCUAGAGUACGGCAGAGGGGGAUGGAAUUCCGCGUGUAGCAGUGAAAUGCGUAGAUAUGCGGAGGAACGCCGAUGGCGAAGGCAAUCCCCUGGGCCUGUACUGACGCUCAUGCACGAA
Molecule: ribosomal RNA, 719 nt
Filed under: uncultured beta proteobacterium
Lineage: Bacteria; Pseudomonadati; Pseudomonadota; Betaproteobacteria
Description: bacterial SSU rRNA
Rfam family: Bacterial small subunit ribosomal RNA
Source: RNAcentral